CCUACGGGUGGCAGCAGUGGGGAAUAUUGGACAAUGGGGGGAACCCUGAUCCAGCCAUGCCGCGUGUGUGAAGAAGGCCCUCGGGUUGUAAAGCACUUUCAGUGAGGAAGAACGCCUGGUGGUUAAUACCCAUCAGGAAAGACAUCACUCACAGAAGAAGCACCGGCUAACUCCGUGCCAGCAGCCGCGGUAAUACGGAGGGUGCGAGCGUUAAUCGGAAUUACUGGGCGUAAAGCGCGCGUAGGUGGCUUGAUAAGCCGGUUGUGAAAGCCCCGGGCUCAACCUGGGAACGGCAUCCGGAACUGUCAAGCUAGAGUGCAGGAGAGGAAGGUAGAAUUCCCGGUGUAGCGGUGAAAUGUGUAGAGAUCGGGAGGAAUACCAGUGGCGAAGGCGGCCUUCUGGACUGACACUGACACUGAGGUGCGAAAGCGUGGGUAGCAAACAGGAUUAGAUACCCCUGUAGUC
Molecule: ribosomal RNA, 465 nt
Filed under: Vreelandella stevensii
Lineage: Bacteria; Pseudomonadati; Pseudomonadota; Gammaproteobacteria; Oceanospirillales; Halomonadaceae
Description: partial 16S ribosomal RNA
Rfam family: Bacterial small subunit ribosomal RNA
Source: RNAcentral